Molecule: non-coding RNA, 24 nt
Filed under: Arabidopsis thaliana (thale cress)
Lineage: Eukaryota; Viridiplantae; Streptophyta; Magnoliopsida; Brassicales; Brassicaceae
Source: RNAcentral
GCCAUCUUGGUGGUACAUGAAAGG